AACGAACGCUGGCGGCAUGCCUAACACAUGCAAGUCGAACGAAGUCUUCGGACUUAGUGGCGCACGGGUGCGUAACGCGUGGGAAUCUGCCCUUGGGUGCGGAAUAACUUCUCGAAAGGGAUGCUAAUACCGCAUAAUGUCGUAAGACCAAAGAUUUAUCGCCCAAGGAUGAGCCCGCGUAAGAUUAGCUAGUUGGUGGGGUAAAAGCCUACCAAGGCGACGAUCUUUAGCUGGUCUGAGAGGAUGAUCAGCCACACUGGGACUGAGACACGGCCCAGACUCCUACGGGAGGCAGCAGUGGGGAAUAUUGGACAAUGGGCGAAAGCCUGAUCCAGCAAUGCCGCGUGAGUGAUGAAGGCCCUAGGGUUGUAAAGCUCUUUUACCCGAGAUGAUAAUGACAGUAGUCGGGAGAAUAAGCUCCGGCUAACUCCGUGCCAGCAGCCG
Molecule: ribosomal RNA, 444 nt
Filed under: uncultured bacterium
Lineage: Bacteria
Description: bacterial SSU rRNA
Rfam family: Bacterial small subunit ribosomal RNA
Source: RNAcentral